Molecule: long non-coding RNA, 1456 nt
Organism: Sinocyclocheilus anshuiensis
Lineage: Eukaryota; Metazoa; Chordata; Actinopteri; Cypriniformes; Cyprinidae
Exons: 4
Source: RefSeq, a predicted model, not a curated record
UUACAUUCAGAUAUUAUGUUCUGCCUCGCCAUUAGGGGGUGCUAAGCUAUUAUUUAGACGAUUUAUUCAGGUAGAUAGUAUGAAGAAGUCAGCUUGUGUUUGGGAGAGGAAGCAAUGGUUUCCUCACGCUCGCAUUUCAGAAGCUGACGGUCCUAAGAUCGAGGAUUUGUUUCCCUGUGUCCAUCUUCGCAGGACAGGGAAGUACUCAUGGCUUUGGUUGUUACACCGGCAGGCUGCUCGACACCAUUGUUCAGAAGAUACUCAAUGACAUUUUACCCAAUAAUGGGCUCCUCUGCCACCCCAUCAUCACCAGAUACUAAUACAGGUACCUCCAAUUCCAGCGGUGUGGCUUUGUCUGUUUCCAGCUUAAAAGUCACUUUGACCCAGCUUUCAAACCGGAUGACUGUUUGAUUUACUGCUCGACUGGUGAGAUUUACAGGACCUAGGAUCUCUUCAAGGUUGGUACACAGUGGUGUGUGGGAAAUGUUCUUUUCUCCAUUUUUCAUUCAUUAGACAGACUUGGGAGCCAGUAUCCCAUAGUGCUUGCGUUGCCACACCAUCGAAGAAACAGUUCACCAUACAUUUCUCUCCAAUCAAAUUCAGCAACUGUGCAUUAUGUUUGGUGGAUAACUGAUUAGCACUUACUGAUCUGAUCAGCUGUAGGUAGCUUUCCUUCUGCUUCGCUGUUUCUCAGGCUUCCAACUGCUUAAUGCUGUCCUACAAGAGUACAUUUUGAUGUUUCGGCCACUGUGAUGAUGUUGUGUGAGCUGUUAUCGUCAUACUGUUAGCUGAGUUCCCUCUUUCUGUUCUUCCUGCAGGUGGUCCCCUACACCCUCUGGAUAGAUGCCCACUUUGCACACAUUUAAAACAGUGGUCACACUGGUCACCUCUACCAUGCUCCUGACACCCACGGCAUCCCCGUUUCCUUUCUCGGUGCUGUGUGGAACGGUCUACUCUAGGGGUUCUCCAUCUGGCUACUGCCACACACUGGACACCCAUCGCCUAGCUACAGAUGCAUCGGACAGGGAGUUCUCCCCGACCUGAGUCAGGCGGUGGGGGUAUGUGGCGAGGGGGUGCAGCGAAGUCUACAGCGAGAGAGAAAGUCAGGAGACUGGCGGUGAGUAAGUGCGUCAAGGGCAAAUUGACAAACACCUGUGUCUUAUUGCAGUAAUUGGCGUGGAGAGACCGGAUAAAGCCGCCAGGAACGAGAGGGAGAGAUGCUGCACGGAGGACUCAUGGUCCAGUGACUGAGAAAUGCUGUUGUGCUACGUGUUGUGAAUAUUCUGUGUUAGAGCUAGAAGCGCUGAGAGCGCGUGCUUUUUAAUAAAUACUGUUGAACUGUUAAUUGUUGAACUGAAUAAAUACCACGAGCCUCCGUAACUGACACUGCCUUCUUCCUUUCCACACACACACAUCUGAACAUUACCACAAUUAUAAAUCCCUAUUGACAUUUGUA